ACGAACGCUGGCGGCGUGCUUCACACAUGCAAGUCGAACGGAAAGGCCCUGCUUUUGUGGGGUGCUCGAGUGGCGAACGGGUGAGUAACACGUGAGUAACCUGCCCUUGACUUUGGGAUAACUUCAGGAAACUGGGGCUAAUACCGGAUAGGAGCUCCUGCUGCAUGGUGGGGGUUGGAAAGUUUCGGCGGUUGGGGAUGGACUCGCGGCUUAUCAGCUUGUUGGUGGGGUAGUGGCUUACCAAGGCUUUGACGGGUAGCCGGCCUGAGAGGGUGACCGGCCACAUUGGGACUGAGAUACGGCCCAGACUCCUACGGGAGGCAGCAGUGGGGAAUGUUGCACAAUGGGCGGAAGCCUGAUGCAGCAACGCCGCGUGCGGGAUGACGGCCUUCGGGUUGUAAACCGCUUUCGCCUGUGACGAAGCGUGAGUGACGGUAAUGGGUAAAGAAGCACCGGCUAACUACGUG
This 467-nucleotide ribosomal RNA is filed under the name uncultured bacterium. RNAcentral's name for it is "partial 16S ribosomal RNA". It matches the Rfam family "Bacterial small subunit ribosomal RNA", at positions 29 to 507 of the family's 1533-position model. The record is from RNAcentral.